RNAcentral lists this ribosomal RNA (236 nucleotides) under uncultured bacterium. RNAcentral describes it as "partial 16S ribosomal RNA". The stretch from base 1 to 191 matches the Rfam family "Bacterial small subunit ribosomal RNA", at positions 1343 to 1533 of the family's 1533-position model. The record is from RNAcentral.
CGCGGAUCAGCAUGCCGCGGUGAAUACUUCCCGGGCCUUGUACACACCGCCCGUCACACCAUGGGAGUAGAUUGUACCAGAAGCGGCUAGCCUAACCUUCGGGAGGGCGGUUACCACGGUAUGGUUUAUGACUGGGGUUGAAGUCGUAACAAGGUAGCCGUAGGGGAACCUGCGGCUGGAUCACCUCCUUUAAAGAAAAGGGUCUAGACCCCACACACGCCACUCGGUAAGGAAUU